GCCGGGCGUGGUGGUGCGCGCCUGUAAUCCCAGCUACUCAGGAGGCUGAGGCAGGAGAAUUGCUUGAACCCAGGAGGCAGAGGUUGUAGUGAGCCGAGAUUGCGCCACUGCACUCCAGCCUGGGCAACAGAGCAAGAUUCCAUCUCAA
RNAcentral lists this non-coding RNA (148 nucleotides) under Gorilla gorilla gorilla (western lowland gorilla). Lineage: Eukaryota; Metazoa; Chordata; Mammalia; Primates; Hominidae. The record is from Rfam by way of RNAcentral.